CCAAAACGCGCGCGGGGGAGGGGAGGAGGAGAAGGGGAGGGGCCCCAAAGGUCACCUGGCCACACCUGGGCACACCUGGGAACAUCUGGGGUAGCCCCAAAGGUCACGGGGGGUCCCUGGGCCUCCCCCCUCACCUCCAGGUGAGCUCAGGUGUAAUGGCAGAUAUGAGCACAGGUGUGCCCAGGUACCCCCAGGUGUGCCCAGGUACCCCCAGGUGUGCCCAGUUUUGUCCUUAAGAGCACUCAGGUGUGCCCAGGGUGGCACCAGGAGCUCCCAGGUGUGCCCAGGUGUAUCUCUAAGAGCACUCAGGUGUGCCCAGGUACCCCCAGGUGUGCCCAGGUGUGUCUCUAAGAGCCCUCAGGUGUGCCCAGGUGUGUCCCAGGUGUGCCCAGCUGUAUUUGGGGGAUCCUCAGGUAUUUCCCAGGUACCCCCAGGUGCCUCCAGGUCUAUCCCAGCUGUGCCCAGGUACGCUCAGGUGUGCCCAGAAGCUGCCAGGUGUAUCCCAGGUGUAUCCCAGGUAUCCCCAGGUGUGCCCAAGCCCAUCCGAGGUACCCCCAGGUGUGUCCCAGGUACCCCCAGGUGUGCCCAGGUCGAUCCCAGGAGUACCUCAGGUACCCUUAGGUACCCUCAGGUGUGCCCAGAUACCCCCAGAUAAGUCCAGGUCGAUCCCAGGUGUGCCCAGGUGUCUCCAGGUGAGCACCCAGGUGUACCCUAGCCACACCCAGGUCUAUCCCAGCUACCCCCAGGUGCCCCCAGGUGCCCCCAGGUCUAUCCAGGUGCUUCCAGGUGCCCCCAUGUAUGCCCAGGUGAGCACCCGGAUGUACCCUAGCCACACCCAGGGCUAUCCCAGGUACCCCCAGGUGUACCCAGGUGUGCCCAGGUGUGCCCAGCUCAGCACCUGGGUGAGCCCUAGCCACCCCCAGGGUACCCCCAGGUGUGCCCAGGUGUGCCAGGUCU
Long non-coding RNA from Haemorhous mexicanus (house finch), 957 nucleotides. RefSeq lists it as uncharacterized. Lineage: Eukaryota; Metazoa; Chordata; Aves; Passeriformes; Fringillidae. The transcript has 3 exons. The record is from RefSeq and is a predicted model, not a curated record.